Long non-coding RNA from Cephus cinctus (wheat stem sawfly), 2035 nucleotides. RefSeq lists it as uncharacterized. The record is from RefSeq and is a predicted model, not a curated record. Lineage: Eukaryota; Metazoa; Arthropoda; Insecta; Hymenoptera; Cephidae. The transcript is spliced from 6 exons.
CAAAUGUCGCCGAUCUUCUUUCUAUCGCCCUCUGGUAUAUCUGGAAACGAUGAGAAUUCAAUAUAUAAAAUGAAGUAUAUAAAUCAGUUGAAAAGUGUAUAUAGCUAUUCGUUGGUCUAAUAUUAUUAUAAGCUUUUGUUUCAUCCCUCUGAGACGUUAGAGCGUCGGGACGCUCAAUCCGCCACCGGCCAAAGAGACUCAGUCUUGACUCCUCUUUCAACCGAUGUCAUACAUCGUCGAGAAAUCCUCCUUGAUUGCUGCAUUGUUCGAGAAUAAUACCUACAGCCAAUGGAUAAAUGAUGUAAGAAGGAAGAAAAAUCGAUUUAUCCUAAGAUCCAAGCCAUAAUCAUCACCAAACAAGCAUUAGUAGAACUACGCGAAGGAAUGGCAAACACUUGAAGUAUCCCCUUGGAAAUUCCGUACGUAAUCAGCAUAGUAAACUCAUCCGUGUGGAAACAGUCGACUAAUGUCCUUGUUUACCCCGAGACAUUGGGCUUCAAAGAUGGUUUAAUCCAAUGAGGCCAGUCAAGUUAGAAAUGAAACCCGGAAGAAGAGAAAAAAGCUCCCGUGUAUGAGCAAUGUAACAAAGCGAUGAGCGAUCCUGAUUAUGUAAAAGUUGAUAAUUGUAUACCAGUUAACAAUCUGUCCUCAUUUUACAGUAGAAUUAACGUACCGCUGUACGUAGAUAAGUACGGGCAAAUAAAAUGACGCUGUUCGGGUCAAUCCACGCGUCAAAAGUGGGUCAUUCCAGUAUGGCACACUGCCAAUGCUCUCACCUGCGAAACGUCCCACGCCUUCCGCAGUAUAUCCAAUGCCAACGGAAAAUAUUUGAACGAAAAGUUUUUCUUAUAGGAAAAACCAUGACUCCUUAUGACGAUGAUGCUCAUCGAUCAUUCUUAAAGCUCUUAAAGGGCUGCUGCUGCUGUCAUAGAAGGAUUUAUCUUUCGUUCUAUAUGUUUUCUUAUGAAACUAUCAUAUCGAUUUAACCCUAAGGAUAAGUACAAGGCAUACAGAUUACAUAUGUAUGUUAACAAGAGGAACGAGUCUUCAACAGUCCAUAUACUCGAUUUUAAUUUUUGCUCCUUUUUUUCUGAAUUGGUUCGUUAAGAAGUAAUUACGUUAGGACGUAUUCUUCAACAUUUCUCAUUUUUAAGUUCACCGGGUAAAACGAAGGAAUUUGCGACCUGGUGUACGUACUCCUACAUUCAAGUACUCAGUUGAUGCCGUACUCGAUUAUACAUUCCUCGUGAUCUCGUUACUGCCGAGGGUUGCUACCGUGAAAAAGGCAGGAUGCUGGAGAAAUGGGACAAUAUGGAAAAGAUAGCGAGCUGUAUCUCAUGUCUUCGAAAUUCUCUCACUAAAUGCCGGAUGAGAAUAUCUCUCACUGGUCUUGUUCGCUAGAAUAUUUUAACGCGACGAGUACAACGGCUUGGUAUAUUUGACUAGGCAUCAAGACGGAUAUUUGAAAUCCUGAAGGAACGACCACUUCUUAGGGUUAUUGAGUGACCAUUUCUUUUUGCCAUACCGCAGACAUGACUCAGCAUACGUGUCCCUUAACGAAAACUUAAUCUACAAUAUUAUGCAGAGAAAUCACCUUUGGGAAACAGAAACUGAACUUAGUAUAGAAUUUAUAUCAUUGGACCCAGUAGUGAUAUUUUUCUGGUAAAAUUGAUCACGUGGAAAUAGGAUACCAAUGAGAAAUCAAAUGCCUAUACUAUAUACAUAAUAUUCUCUAUAAUUUAAGUGAGAUUGAGAAAGACAACGUUAUGAGAUAUGAUAAUCCAACCAUAUAACAGAUAAACAUUAAUCAAGGGCUUAAGUAAAAUAUUGUGUGGCCAUGGCUAUUUGAAUAUUCGUGUAUUGGUGUAAUAAUAUGCGGAACCUAGUUCCCCAUUCUGUCUCUCUCUUUCCGAACGGAUAUAAAUCUAAUCAAGUAAAAGCAUCGCACUGUGGCCACGUUACUUAUCACUAAAAUUAUAUAAUCGCACAGCAAGAUGGAGUAAUACUCGGCAUUAUUAAAACCCAUUUUGAAGCA